UAUAGAAAGAUGUCAAUUUGUUUUUUAGAAAAUUCCAUGGUCACAACUCUCUGAAGGAAUACUACGAGAAGGAGAGCUGUGUUCAUUACAUUCAUAAUAUAAAUGUGCCUCUGCUGCUGGUGAACUCGGCUGAUGAUCCGCUUGUGCACAACACGUUGCUCACCAUUCCUCGCACACUCGCAGAAAAGAAAGAAAACGUGAUCUUCGCACUGACACUGCACGGUGGACACCUGGGUUUCUUCGAGGGCGCUGUGCUGUUCCCUCAGCCCCUCACCUGGAUGGACAAGGUCAUUGUCGGCUACGUUAAUGCAAUCUGCCAGUGGGAGAAACAGAAACCACCGUGCCUAAGUCAAGGCGCCCAUUCCAGCGAAACCAAAUGCCAAGACAGUAAAUCUUAACCGACCCCGUCUCCGUUGCACCUCCACCGAGACGUUUUCACCGCCGCACACGAGGGGGAUCGGACAACUAUUUUCAAGCGUUCACUGUCAGUGGGGAAUAUGUGUUUCUCUUUUGUAUCACGGUUUAUAAACGACAUGAAUCGUAAUGACUUUUCAAAGGAGAAAACGGAAAAGCCACUCGAUGACCAAAAACAGUCAUAUAACCGGUGUAGCGAGAGCACCUUUUUAUAUUUACUGUAGUUUGUAGUUGUUUAGAUAUGAUCAGUAUAUCUUGCCCUCGAAUUAGGACACUAAAAACUGAUUAGUUAUCACUGCUAAAUAGGAUCGAACAGAGCUGAGCGAAUCUCACAAAAAACA
Molecule: non-coding RNA, 755 nt
Organism: Pimephales promelas (fathead minnow)
Lineage: Eukaryota; Metazoa; Chordata; Actinopteri; Cypriniformes; Leuciscidae
Source: RefSeq, a predicted model, not a curated record